RNAcentral lists this ribosomal RNA (494 nucleotides) under uncultured bacterium. Its description in RNAcentral is "partial 16S ribosomal RNA". It matches the Rfam family "Bacterial small subunit ribosomal RNA", at positions 28 to 507 of the family's 1533-position model. The record is from RNAcentral.
GACGAACGCUGGCGGCGUGCUUAACACAUGCAAGUCGAACGGUGAAGCGCCUUCCUUUUUGGUGGGUGUGGAUGAGUGGCGAACGGGUGAGUAACACGUGAGUAACCUGCCCCCUUCUUCUGGAUAACCGCAUGAAAGUGUGGCUAAUACGGGAUAUUCUGGGUCUGUCGCAUGAUGGGUCUGGGAAAGAUAUUGUUUCGGUGGGGGAUGGGCUCGCGGCCUAUCAGCUUGUUGGUGGGGUGAUGGCCUACCAAGGCGGUGACGGGUAGCCGGCCUGGGAGGGUGGACGGUCACACUGGGACAGAGACACGGCCCAGACUCCUACGGGAGGCAGCAGUGGGGAAUAUUACACAAUGGGCGCAAGCCUGAUGCAGCGACGCCGCGUGAGGGAUGGAGGCCUUCGGGUUGUGAACCUCUUUCGCCAGUGAAGCAGGCCUGCCUCGUUUGUGGGUGGGUUGACGGUAGCUGGAUAAGAAGCGCCGGCUAACUACGUG